This 237-nucleotide unclassified non-coding RNA is filed under the name plant metagenome. RNAcentral's name for it is "partial contains small subunit ribosomal RNA and internal transcribed spacer 1". The stretch from base 1 to 46 matches the Rfam family "Eukaryotic small subunit ribosomal RNA", at positions 1786 to 1831 of the family's 1831-position model. The record is from RNAcentral.
AAGUCGUAACAAGGUCUUCGUAGGUGAACCUGCGAAGGGAUCAUUAAAGAGAUAGGGUUCUCACGAGCCCGACCUCCAACCCUUUGUCUACCAAACCACUGUUGCCUCGGCGGGCCCGCCGGUGCCUUUCGUAGGCGCCGCCGUCGGCCCUUGCGCUCUCGAGUGCCCGCCGCAGGACCAUGUAAACUCUUUUUAAACAAGUAUAAUCUGAGUGGAUAUCUAAUGCUUCAAUUAAAA